This 393-nucleotide ribosomal RNA is filed under the name uncultured bacterium. RNAcentral's name for it is "partial 16S ribosomal RNA". It matches the Rfam family "Bacterial small subunit ribosomal RNA", at positions 523 to 918 of the family's 1533-position model. The record is from RNAcentral.
AUACGGAGGAUGCGAGCGUUAUCCGGAUUUAUUGGGUUUAAAGGGAGCGUAGGUGGGAUAUUAAGUCAGCUGUGAAAGUUUGGGGCUCAACCUUAAAAUUGCAGUUGAUACUGGUUUCCUUGAGUACGGUACAGGUGGGCGGAAUUCGUGGUGUAGCGGUGAAAUGCUUAGAUAUCACGAAGAACUCCGAUCGCGAAGGCAGCUCACCGGGCCUGAACUGACACUGAUGCUCGAAAGUGCGGGUAUCAAACAGGAUUAGAUACCCUGGUAGUCCGCACAGUAAACGAUGAAUACUCGCUGUUUGCGAUACACUGUAAGCGGCCAAGCGAAAGCGUUAAGUAUUCCACCUGGGGAGUACGCCGGCAACGGUGAAACUCAAAGGAAUUGACGGGG